AGGGUUUGAUCAUGGCUCAGGAUGAACGCUAGCGGCAGGCUUAACACAUGCAAGUCGAGGGGUAACAGGGAUUGCUUGCAAUCCGCUGACGACCGGCGCACGGGUGCGUAACGCGUAUGCAACCUACCUUUUACUGGGGGAUAGUCAAGAGAAAUUUUGAAUAAUACCCCAUACGAUCUGAUUCACUCCUGUGAAGCAGAAGAAAAUUCCGAUGGUAAAAGAUGGGCAUGCGUCCUAUUAGUUUGUUGGUGAGGUAACGGCUCACCAAGACUACGAUAGGUAGGGGUCCUGAGAGGGAGAUCCCCCACACUGGUACUGAGACACGGACCAGACUCCUACGGGAGGCAGCAGUGAGGAAUAUUGGACAAUGGAGGCAACUCUGAUCCAGCCAUGCCGCGUGCAGGAAGACGGCCCUAUGGGUUGUAAACUGCUUUUAUACAGGAAGAAACGUUAGUACGUGUACUAGCCUGACGGUACUGUAAGAAUAAGGAUCGGCUAACUCCGUGCCAGCCGCCGCGGUAAU
Molecule: ribosomal RNA, 523 nt
Filed under: uncultured bacterium
Lineage: Bacteria
Description: bacterial SSU rRNA
Rfam family: Bacterial small subunit ribosomal RNA
Source: RNAcentral